CCCAAAGCUUAACUUUGGAACUGCAAUUAAAACUGCUCGACUAGAGUUUGAUAGAGGAAAGCGGAAUACAUAGUGUAGAGGUGAAAUUCGUAGUUAUUAUGUAGAACACCAGUUGCGAAGGCGGCUUUCUGGAUCAACACUGACGCUGAGGCGCGAAAGUAUGGGUAGCAAAGAGGAUUAGAUACCCUCGUAGUCCAUACCAUAAACGAUGAUUGCUAGAUGUUGGAAAUUUAUUUUCAGUAUCGCAGCUAACGCAUUAAGCAAUCCGCCUGGGGAGUACGACCGCAAGGUUAAAACUCAAAUGAAUUGACGGGGACCCGCACAAGCGGUGGAGCAUGUGGUUUAAUUCGAAGAUACGCGCAGAACCUUACCAACCCUUGACAUGUCUGUCGCGAGUUUUAGGAAACUAGACUUUUCGGUUCGGCCGGACAGAACACAGGUGCUGCAUGGCUGUCGUCAGCUCGUGUCGUGAGAUGUUGGGUUAAGUCCCGCAACGAGCGCAACCCCCUACUUUUAGUUGCCAUCAGGUCAUGCUGGGCACUCUGAAAAGAAACUGCCAGUGAUAAAGCUGGAGGAAGGUGGGGGAUGACGUCAAGUCCCUCAAUGAGCCCUUUACGGGUUUGGGGCUACACACGUGCUACAAUGUUAGUUGACAUUGAGAAUUGCAAAGGUGGCGACGCUAAGCUUAAACUCAAAAAAUCUACCUCAGUUUCGGG
RNAcentral lists this ribosomal RNA (716 nucleotides) under uncultured Pelagibacterales bacterium. RNAcentral's name for it is "bacterial SSU rRNA". It matches the Rfam family "Bacterial small subunit ribosomal RNA", at positions 601 to 1298 of the family's 1533-position model. The record is from RNAcentral. Lineage: Bacteria; Pseudomonadati; Pseudomonadota; Alphaproteobacteria; Candidatus Pelagibacterales.